AAUAGAUACCCAGGUAGUCCACGCCGUAAACGAUGGAUACUAGCUGUCGGGGGGUAUCGACCCCCUCGGUAGCGAAGCUAACGCGUUAAGUAUCCCGCCUGUGGAGUACGGUCGCAAGACUAAAACAUAAAGGAAUUGACGGGGAUCAGCACAAGCGGUGGAUCGUGUUCUUUAAUUCGAUGAUAAACGAAGAACCUUACCAGGGCUUGACAUCCAGGGAAGCACUACGAAAGUAGAGUGUGCCUUUUGGAACCCUGUGACAGGUGUUGCAUGGCCGUCGUCAGCUCGUGUCGUGAGAUGUUUGGUUAAGUCCAUCAACGAGCGCAACCCUUGUGAAUAGUUGUAUUUUUCUAUUCAGACUGCUCUAGUAAUAGGGAGGAAGGAGGGGAUGAUGUCAGGUCAGUAUUACCCUUACGUCCUGGGCUAGAAACACGAUACAAUGGCAAGUACAAUGCGCAGCGAAGCAGUGAUGUGGAGCAAAUCGCACCAAAGCUUGUCCCAGUUCGGAUAAGAGGCUGAAACUCGCCUCGUU
Molecule: ribosomal RNA, 532 nt
Filed under: uncultured bacterium
Lineage: Bacteria
Description: bacterial SSU rRNA
Rfam family: Bacterial small subunit ribosomal RNA
Source: RNAcentral